Molecule: long non-coding RNA, 744 nt
Organism: Dromiciops gliroides (monito del monte)
Lineage: Eukaryota; Metazoa; Chordata; Mammalia; Microbiotheria; Microbiotheriidae
Exons: 4
Source: RefSeq, a predicted model, not a curated record
AAACACUCUAGGAGGAGGAUGAUUAAGCUCGUGCUCCCCACCUCUUGGCAAAAGUGGUGUACAGGAUGAGGCACACGUUUGCCGACACAGCUAACAAGAAGAUCUUCUCUGCUUGAUCAUACUUAUUGGUUGGUGUGGAUGGCAAGGGUCUAGAGCUAAGCCCAGAAGACACCAAUCCCGUAGUGUCCAGCUAAGCAGUUGAGGUCUGACAGAUGUCACAGGUGCCAGCCAAGAAGGUUUGGGAGAUGUCCUGUGCCAAGAGUGUGGUGGCCAUCAAAAACCAUUUGUAUUCACCAGAAGAGGCUGAACAUACAGUUUAACUCAGUACACUGUCCACAGGCUUGAGUUCUUGGCUGUGAAGUGUGUCAUUGCUGAGGUCAGACUAUGUUUACAGAACAAAAUUCCAGGUAUCUGUGGAUGACAGGAAACAAGAAGAAAUGACUGAUAUACCAAGAGAAGUGAUACAAGCCAAAAAGCAAGGAAGUCAUGUUCAGAUCCCCAAGUUCCAGUGCUGAGAAGGAACUCUGCUGUUGAGACAAUGGAAGAAGUUGAGGCUGUCCAAUACAUCACUGUUCUGGAUUUUGACUGUGAUCACUUACGUGGAACCAAGAAGCAGUUAGUGCUGACCAGAGCCUAUUUGCAUGGCCAUAAAAGCCCUCCUUAGUGACUUUGGAUACAUAAGUUUUAAAAAAAAUUACUCUAUAGCCUUUUUUUUUUUUACUUUUUCUUUUCUUUUUUUUUUUU